Molecule: ribosomal RNA, 305 nt
Filed under: uncultured bacterium
Lineage: Bacteria
Description: bacterial SSU rRNA
Rfam family: Bacterial small subunit ribosomal RNA
Source: RNAcentral
ACCUCGGGGCGCAGCAGUGAGGAAUAUUGGUCAAUGGGCGGGAGCCUGAACCAGCCAAGUCGCGUGAGGGAAGAAGGUACUGAGUAUUGUAAACCUCUUUUGCCAGGGGACAAAGGCGGCCACGGGUGGCCGUAAGAGGGUACCUGGAGAAAAAGCAUCGGCUAACUCCGUGCCAGCAGCCGCGGUAAUACGGAGGAUGCGAGCGUUAUCCGGAUUUAUUGGGUUUAAAGGGUGCGUAGGCGGUCGGAUAAGAUAGAGGUGAAAUCCCGAGGCUCAACUUCGGAAUUGCCUCUGAUACUGUUCGG